Molecule: long non-coding RNA, 6798 nt
Organism: Helianthus annuus (common sunflower)
Lineage: Eukaryota; Viridiplantae; Streptophyta; Magnoliopsida; Asterales; Asteraceae
Exons: 4
Source: RefSeq, a predicted model, not a curated record
AAAACGGGCUUGGUAAUUAAACUCUGUUAAUACUAAAAGACGGGUAACGUACCGUUAUUAGUAAAAAUAACCCGGCAAAUAUUUGGAUUUAAAUAAGAAAUCCUAAUAUUAAAUAAAAACGAAUCAAAGUUUUAAGUAAUUAAGUUUAUAAAAGGCCCGAUUUAACGGGACUUAAAGUAAAACGGGUUACGACUUCCCGAACCUACUAAGCUAACUAGGAAUAAUUCUAACCUAGUUAGAUAGUGACUUAUGAGUGGGUUAAAACACUUAAAUUAUGAACUAAGGAAAAUGAAGGGGCCAAAGAUGUUAAAAUCGAAACUUAUGUUGCUAAUUUAAUUAAAACAAAAACCAAACACCCCAUUUGGGGAUGUCUGGUCGUACAAAGAAGCAGGAGGCGAUGGGUUUCUUCAAACCCUAAAAUCCUUACUAAAACUCUCAAAUUGGAGGUGCAAAUCUGGUCCAAAACGAAAAUUCGAGCAUAGAUUACUGAUCCCCAUUGCAAGGGGGUUGUAAGUUUGACUCUUGACAAGCUAGAUGGAGGCUUGGAAUGAAGCGGGUCAAACGGAGCAGGUACGAAAAGGAAAGCGUAAUUUGGAUGCGAGGUAAGUAAAGCUUACGCCCUCUUUUGUAAGUUAUGUGUUUAUUCAUAGGUUGUAAAUACGACAAAAGCUAUAUUUGGAAUAUGGUUCCGACACGAAAUGUAACGGGUCGGGACAUAUAAAAUAAUGAUAAACCAUGUUUAAUGGUAAAAUGGGCGAAAUGGUAAUUGGUCACGAGAUGACAUAUAUAUAAAAUGAGUUUUUGAAUGACUACUUAUUAAGGUAAGCCUAAACGAAUAAAAAGAGUAAAACGACGAAUUAGUCAUGUGUAGACGAAAAAGAGUUGAAGUUUAAAACAACACCAUUUAAUAUUAAGCACAAAAUAUUUGGUAGUCUAGACCAAACGGGUCAAAUGGUAAUAUUUAUACCAUUUGACAAUUAACGACUAAUAAGUGUAUGUCGAGUCUCAUGCUCGCAGGGUAAUUGGUUUAUGAAUUAGCGAGGCUAUGAAUUAGCAUAUUAUAGAGACAAGGUCUUAAAACGGGUCAAUAUGUUGACCCGAGCCAGGUACGCUUAUAUAUAUAGAUGUAUAGUUAAAAGUGUUUAACUUCCCUUCACGGGUCAAAAGGAGUAGAUAGGUAAAACGGGUUAAGAAUUCAUAAGAAACCCGUAAUUUGAACCUUGCACAUUAGUAAAUUGAUAUAACGUGAUAUGCAUGAUAUUUUGAAUAUGAUUGAUUGAUCUUUGAUAUUGGUUCAUAUGUAACAUAUUAGAAUUUCGAGAAACUAAUUGGUAUGUUAGAAAGAGCGAAAUCCGAGAUUUAGGCAUUGAGUAUAAUGAACAAAGCAACCAAAAGAUGGAUUUACAGGGACUACCGUAAGUUACGGUAGUACCGUAAGUUACGGUAGAGGUCAGGAGCUUACGGUGUGAGUCUACUGGUUUACGGUGGACCAUUAUUGGAAAUUGACCACCGUAACUUACGGUGAAACCGUAAGUUACGGUAGGGCCUGAAUGUUUAUAAAUUUUAUAUAAUUGUAAAUUUUCAAAUUCAUUUCGAUCGUAGUUUCGAUCAAGUAUCAUUUCUAAGCAUUCUAAUAUAAAUGUUUAUGUAAACAUUUCAGUCUUAGGUGCUCAAGGAUUAUGGGUGACGAUCAAGCAACUUUUGAAGGACCGAACACAUACUCUUGAAGCUUCCGCAUAAAUCAACUCGGUUUAAACAAUGUUUAUGAUGUAAACUGUUUGCUAAACAACUUUUGAAAUGUUUAAACGACGUACUCAAUUAUGUUAUGUUGUAUUAUUUUAAAAUUGUAAAGUUCAAACAAACCCGUAUUUUUACAAAGUAUAUGUAGUCAUAAUUACAUGUUGUUUGUCGUAUACUUUACAAAAACCAUUAAAUAAUGACAAGGGUGUUACAAAUUGGUAAUCAGAGCUCAUGGUUAAAGAGUAAAUUGUGUUCGGUUCGAGGCUUGAUCGCAAAUCCGGUAAGUACAUGUAUAUUAAUGGUUUGUUAUGUGUUGAAAUGUUGUGAACAACACAUAAGGUUAUCGUGUGAUACACGUUACCUCAAUUAAAUGAUAAAUAUAGUUGACAAAAUUGCGCGCGUUGAUGCGUAUAGUAGAAAAGCCUUGUAUUAUAAUACGGGCGAUUAUUGAAGUUGAUAUUACUAAUUCUUGUAAAUGUUUUAAUUGAAGGACACUCGCAUCUGAAGAUAGCGAGAGUUUAACAAAUUGCGGAUAUGGUGAUGGAACGGUCCGAGAUGUGACAAGAAGAGCAUACUAAUCAAGGACCUAAAUCGCGUAACGAUCGCAAAUAAGUAAUGGCAAGGAAUGUCCGUUGGGGCAAGCAUUACCAGGUGCACAUUUUAAACUUAUAGUACAAACAGUAAUAUGCAACACAUACAUAGUGAAUGACAGUUGCAUAUAGAAUAUGAAACUUGGAAAACCUGGAUAGGUUACCUAUCCAGGAUGACGUUUCCAAGAGAAAUUCAGUAGAGAAUAUGUAUCACAAAUUGUGAAUAACAAGACAAUAACAGAAUUCAGUUUAUAUAGAAACUUGGACGAGAGUGAUCAUCCAAGUAAGUAUUCUCAAUAUAAAUCUUAUUGAGAAAAGUAAUGAUCACAUCAACGAAUGUGAAUAAAUGUUUAUAAAAAGGGACAUUUUAAAUGUUCAAGGAUAAACGACUAAAACUAAUAAUUGUUAACUAACAAUUAAAUAAAGUUUUACCAAAUGAAAUCAUAAAUAUGGAGAUAAUUUGAGGAGUUACUUACAUGGGACGUGAUGUGGUAAUUAUAAUAAGGUCACGCGUACCAUGUGUUGAUCGCUUACUCUGGCCAAGUAAGUAGUGAACACAUGAUAGCAUGAGCUUCUUAUAAUGAGCGCAGUUAUGUCCGAUGUAGUAAGGUCAAGAUGAAUGAAAAUUUAAAGGAUCCUUAGGGUUAAGAAAUCUUAUGGGCAUACUCGUAUAAAUGGUUUUCGCGGGAACCAUAAAAACGAUGUAUGGCGCACAUAGAAACAAAAGACCCAAGGAAAUUCGUGACAUAAGUCAUUUUGGACGAAACAACCAUGGUAGACAAAAAGGGCAUUGUAAAACCAAAGUAUAAAUGACCCGCUGGGUCAUAGAAACAAAGGUAUUGCCCACAUGAGAAAACGAUCAAAGUCGUUGACUUUGGUUGUAGUAAAGAAAUAAUGAUGAUGAUAAUCAUCAUUCAUAGUUUAUAAGACUGUCAAGGAUGGUCAAAUAAAGAAUAAAGGUUUGGUUGAAUAAAAGCGAUGGAUUUCGCUAAGACAACCAAACAAAUUAAAACGAAAUCUUAAUGUAUACCGGAAUGCUUGCACUAAUAAUGACUUCGGUAAAGUACCCGGUUGAUGGGUAAGGAUUUAAACACAUGCGUAAACCGAGAAACGGGAACACGAAUUUAAAGUCAAAAGACUCGGAUUACGAGUUAUGACUAUAAAAUCUCGUAUAUAGAAAUUGUGAGUAAAUAUGUUCAACUAUUCGAAGUCGAAUGGGUUGAAUAAAGAAUAAAGUUGAUUGUUUAUAAGUGAUGGAUUUCACAUUAAUAAGUCAAACAUGUUGAAUACAAUAUAACGCCGAAUGGCACAAGUGAGCGCUAGCCAGAAAAAGGUAGCGUUAAAUGCAAGAGAAUAAUGAGCCCGGUAAUGGGAUAUAACCAAAUAAGAAUAUAUGCAAAUCAAAUAACAGUAAGCAUAAGAAGAACUGACGCAUAAAUGACGUGAGAAGUCAUAAAAUCGGAAAAUCGUCCGAAAGAAAACAAUUAUAGCCAUGAAACUACAAUUAAGGUUAACGGGACCUAAGCUUGAAACCAAAUAAUUCUUCGAACAAAAACAGGGUGCCUUGACACCAAACAUGUGUUUUAAGAAUGACAUGAGUAAGGAGUGAUCUACGGGAUCAACACCUUUAGGGUUAUAAACAAAUGAAAGAUCUACGGGACUAAAACGACGCAUGGGUCAUGAUUAGAAAGAAGUUAUAAGGACUUCGCCCUAAAGAGGUGAAAGUCUAAUCAAAAUAGCCCAUAAGGCUAAGUGAUAAAAACCUACGGGUUAAUUAGAUAAAGCGAGGGAAUCGGUUGAGAAUCCCCGCAUAAAACUAAGACUGUAAAAGAAUAAAUUAUGGACUGUCAAUAUCCUGGUAUGGAUAAUUGACAAAAGUUAAAGAGAAGAUCCUAAAACUAAAACUUCGGUUUUAGUAAGAAAUAGCGUUUUUACAAACAUAAAUUCUGAUAGGAAUUUAAAUAGUAAGCAUGAAAGAUACAAGUCUUGACACUGAUAGGCGCAAGACGAUAUAUUCGAAAAGUGAUAUUUUCAAAAAUGAAAGGUUGAUACAAACUAAACACGAUGUGACACGAUCACGGUUAGGAAAUGUAAUGUGAAGUAAAAUCACGUUAUAACCAAGCGAGCAGUGAGAAGUAACGGGACUAAUAAGUCUAGUUAGUAAGACCGGUUAAGGCCAGUAAUUCAAAUCAAUAAAAAAAAUUGGUUUGCUUGUAAGCGGUGGAUUCGGUAUAACUGAACCGAAUAAAUAAAUCUGAAAACAAAAGAAAUUAUUGCUAAAAGUGAAAUAUUUCACUAAAGACCUUUAAACGGGUCAAGGUAACGGAUUCACCAAGAGUUCGAUAAUAUAUAAAAGCGAUGGAAAUCGCUAAGUUAACUAAACUAGUAGAAAUAACGGAAUUACGUUAUUUCAAAUUACAUUAUGUCGUAUGAGGUACGUAGAGGUUCUGUAACCAAAAAGAUAUUACCAAAAUUUUUCUGGUAAUACUAACAAUUGGUUAAAAUAUGAAUAAUGCUUAAGAGAUUACUCAGGUCAAACGCAUUGAGUUUAGAACUCAAUGAACUAUGUAAGCAAGGUUUCGAGGACGAAACCUCUUUAAGGGGGGUAGACUUGUAACACCCCGAAAACGGGCUUGGUAAUUAAACUCUGUUAAUACUAAAAGACGGGUAACGUACCGUUAUUAGUAAAAAUAACCCGGCAAAUAUUUGGAUUUAAAUAAGAAAUCCUAAUAUUAAAUAAAAACGAAUCAAAGUUUUAAGUAAUUAAGUUUAUAAAAGGCCCGAUUUAACGGGACUUAAAGUAAAACGGGUUACGACUUCCCGAACCUACUAAGCUAACUAGGAAUAAUUCUAACCUAGUUAGAUAGUGACUUAUGAGUGGGUUAAAACACUUAAAUUAUGAACUAAGGAAAAUGAAGGGGCCAAAGAUGUUAAAAUCGAAACUUAUGUUGCUAAUUUAAUUAAAACAAAAACCAAACACCCCAUUUGGGGAUGUCUGGUCGUACAAAGAAGCAGGAGGCGAUGGGUUUCUUCAAACCCUAAAAUCCUUACUAAUACUCUCAAAUUGGAGGUGCAAAUCUGGUCCAAAACGAAAAUUCGAGCAUAGAUUACUGAUCCCCAUUGCAAGGGGGUUGUAAGUUUGACUCUUGACAAGCUAGAUGGAGGCUUGGAAUGAAGCGGGUCAAACGGAGCAGGUACGAAAAGGAAAGCGUAAUUUGGAUGCGAGGUAAGUAAAGCUUACGCCCUCUUUUGUAAGUUAUGUGUUUAUUCAUAGGUUGUAAAUACGACAAAAGCUAUAUUUGGAAUAUGGUUCCGACACGAAAUGUAACGGGUCGGGACAUAUAAAAUAAUGAUAAACCAUGUUUAAUGGUAAAAUGGGGGAAAUGGUAAUUGGUCACGAGAUGACAUAUAUAUAAAAUGAGUUUUUGAAUUACUACUUAUUAAGGUAAGCCUAAACGAAUAAAAAGAGUAAAACGACGAAUUAGUCAUGUGUAGACGAAAAAGAGUUGAAGUUUAAAACAACACCAUUUAAUAUUAAGCACAAAAUAUUUGGUAGUCUAGACCAAACGGGUCAAAUGGUAAUAUUUAUACCAUUUGACAAUUAACGACUAAUAAGUGUAUGUCGAGUCUCAUGCUCGCAGGGUAAUUGGUUUAUGAAUUAGCGAGGCUAUGAAUUAGCAUAUUAUAGAGACAAGGUCUUAAAACGGGUCAAUAUGUUGACCCGAGCCAGGUACGCUUAUAUAUAUAGAUGUAUAGUUAAAAGUGUUUAACUUCCCUUCACGGGUCAAAAGGAGUAGAUAGGUAAAACGGGUUAAGAAUUCAUAAGAAACCCGUAAUUUGAACCUUGCACAUUAGUAAAUUGAUAUAACGUGAUAUGCAUGAUAUUUUGAAUAUGAUUGAUUGAUCUUUGAUAUUGGUUCAUAUGUAACAUAUUAGAAUUUCGAGAAACUAAUUGGUAUGUUAGAAAGAGCGAAAUCCGAGAUUUAGGCAUUGAGUAUAAUGAACAAAGCAACCAAAAGAUGUAUUUACAGGGACUACCGUAAGUUACGGUAGUACCGUAAGUUACGGUAGUACCGUAAGUUACGGUAGAGGUCAGGAGCUUACGGUGUGAGUCUACUGGUUUACGGUGGACCAUUAUUGGAAAUUGACCACCGUAACUUACGGUGAAACCGUAAGUUACGGUAGGGCCUGAAUGUUUAUAAAUUUUAUAUAAUUGUAAAUUUUCAAAUUCAUUUCGAUCGUAGUUUCGAUCAAGUAUCAUUUCUAAGCAUUCUAAUAUAAAUGUUUAUGUAAACAUUUCAGUCUUAGGUGCUCAAGGAUUAUGGGUGACGAUCAAGCAACCUUUGAAGGACCGAACACAUACUCUUGAAGCUUCCGCAUAAAUCAACUCGGUUUAAACAAUGUUUAUGAUGUAAACUGUUUGCUAAACAACUUUUGAAAUGUUUAAACGACGUACUCAAUUAUGUUA